Molecule: long non-coding RNA, 877 nt
Organism: Rhinolophus ferrumequinum (greater horseshoe bat)
Lineage: Eukaryota; Metazoa; Chordata; Mammalia; Chiroptera; Rhinolophidae
Exons: 3
Source: RefSeq, a predicted model, not a curated record
GGGGGCGCCUCAGACCCCACAAUGCCCUACCUCAAUCCUGCCGCUUAAACUCUCGUGUCCCUGACAGCCCAUGGGACAGAAGACAGCAGAAGUAUCUGGCAUGCAGAAGGACAUGCAUACCUGACAAGCUUCCUGAACCUCCUCCCUGCGGUUCUACCAGCUUCCUGACUGUCUGCUAUGGCUAAAAUGAAGUUAGCUUGUCUACCUGGAAAAGAAGGUCUGGAGACCAGAGGUGACAAAGACCCAGCCCUGCCUUCUUGGAGCUCACAGUCCGGGGAGAGAGACAUGACGGCAGAAGUGUCAGUAGGAGAGGAUGGAGGCUCUGAAAAGGCGGUCGUGCCUGUCCAGCUACAAAGCUGGUCUUUUCCCAACUCACACAAUCUUGGCAGGUAAAACCUUCUCAGUUUUAAGUUUGUCUCCUCUUAAUUCUUUUUACCGUCUCUUCCCCUACCCCAAGCACCUGCUGCUUUCUGUCUACGGAAUAUUCUUUCAGGUGCCCAAACAGAUGAGCGAAAGGUAAUCAGAUAGGGGCAGAAAAACUUACAAAACACAAGUUUGAACAGUUUGCUUUUUUUUCUCAUGGUUUGCAUGUGCAUGACUGUGACGAUCACGCGUGCUCACAACAUUGCUUUGUUUCCUGCUAUUACUUCUUCUUGAUUCCCAGGACAGAAGCCACUGUAUCAAAUGAUCCUGUGUCCUACCAAGGGCCACAUGGCUUCUUGGGGCUUGUUGUGGGAACAUCCGUCCUUGAGAGCCGUUGUUUUGGAAGAGGGAGGUGGGCUUUGGGGUCAAAUCCCAAUCUUGCCAUUUACUGACUGUGUGAUCUUAGAGAAGGUUCUUUAUCUCUCUGGGCCUCAAUUAACGCACAUAUAAAAUA